Molecule: long non-coding RNA, 450 nt
Organism: Ixodes scapularis (black-legged tick)
Lineage: Eukaryota; Metazoa; Arthropoda; Arachnida; Ixodida; Ixodidae
Exons: 3
Source: RefSeq, a predicted model, not a curated record
AUGAAAGCGCGUGUCAUCAAAGCGGGCGUCACAAGAACGCUGAGCAACAGCUGCGGUCACUAAGGUGCUUUUCCCCGUGGUAGUAUUGAAUCCCCUUCUGUAGAAACUGGGUUGUUAUACAUUGAAGUAACUGUUAUGCGACAGCUGCAGCACUGCGCAAUUUUUGCGGAGUACACUUCUGGCCGGUCUUCAUCGCUCUGAAACACCGUCAUCGUGCCUUGAAUCAUCUACUCGUGUCUGUGACCGGGAGCUUCGUCAGCGAUUGGUGAACGAAAUCAGCGCCAUCUGCUCGUGGCUGUGCUUGGGAGCUCCGCCGGCAAGUGGCAGAUGGGACCGGCGUCACCGCGGCCACGUCAUCACUCUCGGCUUGCAGACGCACAGCAGCAGUGGCAGUGCGCUGCCUCAUCUUGCUAUUUUAGACGAUGCCGCGUGUAGCGGCCAGCAGUUGCG